Molecule: long non-coding RNA, 1357 nt
Organism: Xiphias gladius (swordfish)
Lineage: Eukaryota; Metazoa; Chordata; Actinopteri; Istiophoriformes; Xiphiidae
Exons: 4
Source: RefSeq, a predicted model, not a curated record
AGCUAACAAUUGCUAUCCACAGGUUGACACGCUAACAUUAGUUCAAAGUUAAUCUUGGUGUAACGACUGCAGACGACAAGUUAAUACUGAGGGGGUUAAAAGCUCCUGUUAAACUGUUCGGGCUGGUUCCUCUGCUGCAGCGGACAUCUGUCCAAAAAAAAAAAAAAAAAAAAACCUCCAGUCUGUGUCCUCCUGUCCUGAACAACGACAGGUAAGCAGUGUUGCAUCAUCAGAGUGUGAUGAAACUCAAGUGAGCGCAUCUGCGAUAAUAGACACACUGACUGGGAGGAAGUAUGCUGGAAGUUGUGGAUCUUUGAAGAGCAGCAGGAGUGUUUUAGGAAUGCACAGCUUCCUCCUUAUCUCAGCACAUUUGUCUGGGUGUUGUUUUGGAAAUUCAUUCAAAGAAAAGAGGAGUUUGUCAGUACAGCUGCAUGUCAGCGAACUCUGAAACAUUUGGUCGUCUACAUGCAUUUCUGAGCCGAGCCUUCUGUGUGAUGAGCCGGAUCCCCGACAGCAAAGACACGAGCGGUGAUGAUGGAGAAGGAGAAGAGUCUGUCCAGGGUGUAUUUGCACAGCAAAUCCUCCUGCCACCGAGGAAUGUGCUGAGCCUCCCCUUUACUGGUGUGGGACUUCUGUGGAAUCGGAAAAGACAUCAAACAUGAAUAAAAUCUUAUCUUAUGAGCCAUGGGCCAACAAAGUUUCAUGCUAAAACACACCCUUCACCGCGCAGACUCCUCGUAAAAUUGAACCUGAUCUUACCUUCUCGGGAUCCACCACUCCCCUCGACUUCACACAUGUGCUCAUGUCUUUGUGCAGUUUCUGCAUCGCCGGCUUCACUUUGUUGGCAAACUUUGAGCAGCUUUGAAAUCCAGCAAUCCUCUCCACUGCAGAGUUGUAGCUCGAGAGGACACUGACAAUUUUCCUGAUACAUGGCUGAGGAAGGAGAGAGGAACUUUAAAAUUAUGAACUCAUUUUAGGUUGCAGCCUGUUGUAUGCAUAUACCAAAUUUAUUUCUACUGAUGUAAUAGGCGUACACGGACAUUAAGGAGCAUUAAUGGCAUUUCAUGUAUGUAUUGUUAGUGUUUGUUGCUUACCACAGACUCAUUUCUGAGUGUCUCAGGAUCACACAUAUCUCUGGACUCCAUCCAAACCAGUGGGGUGGAGAAAUUUAUAACAUCUUCGGAUCCGUUUCGUGCCUACAGAACAUUUGAGACAAAGGCACAUGCUCAGUACACUUCUUUAUAUAAAAUUAUAAGGAUAUAAAGCCAAAUGCUGGUAUAUACAAAUUUUUAGACAAUAUUCCUAAUAAAGCCAGUGCACAUCUAUCAACAAAAAGAUCAAAUCAUAAUUGGUGUGG